This 253-nucleotide ribosomal RNA is filed under the name uncultured bacterium. RNAcentral describes it as "partial 16S ribosomal RNA". It matches the Rfam family "Bacterial small subunit ribosomal RNA", at positions 524 to 776 of the family's 1533-position model. The record is from RNAcentral.
UACGAAGGGGGCUAGCGUUGUUCGGAAUUACUGGGCGUAAAGCGUGCGCAGGCGGUCUGUUAAGACCGAUGUGAAAUCCCCGGGCUCAACCUGGGAACUGCAUUUGUGACUGCACAGCUGGAGUGCGGCAGAGGGGGAUGGAAUUCCGCGUGUAGCAGUGAAAUGCGUAGAUAUGCGGAGGAACACCGAUGGCGAAGGCAAUCCCCUGGGCCUGCACUGACGCUCAUGCACGAAAGCGUGGGGAGCAAACAGG